Molecule: unclassified non-coding RNA, 347 nt
Filed under: plant metagenome
Description: partial contains 5.8S ribosomal RNA, internal transcribed spacer 2, and large subunit ribosomal RNA
Rfam family: 5.8S ribosomal RNA (bases 1-102)
Source: RNAcentral
AUGCGAUCAGUAAUGUGAAUUGCAGAAUUCAGUGAAUCAUCGAAUCUUUGAACGCACCUUGCGCUCCUUGGUAUUCCGAGGAGCAUGCCUGUUUGAGUGUCAUGGAAUUCUCAACUCUAUUUGCUUUUGUGAAUAGAGCUUGGAUUUGGAGGUUUAUUGCUGGUACUUGUGAUCGGCUCCUCUUGAAUGCAUUAGCUCGAACCUUUGCGGAUCAGCUAUCGGUGUGAUAAUUGUCUACGCCGUUGCAGUGAAGCAUAUCAAUGGGCUCGGCUUCCAAUCGUCCUUUACUGGACAAUGACUUUGACCUUUGACCUCAAAUCAGGUAGGAUUACCCGCUGAACUUAAGC